RNAcentral lists this ribosomal RNA (253 nucleotides) under uncultured bacterium. Its description in RNAcentral is "partial 16S ribosomal RNA". It matches the Rfam family "Bacterial small subunit ribosomal RNA", at positions 524 to 776 of the family's 1533-position model. The record is from RNAcentral.
GACGUAGGGCGCGAGCGUUGUCCGGAUUUAUUGGGCGUAAAGAGCUCGUAGGCGGCUUGUCGCGUCGAAUGUGAAAACCCACGGCUCAACUGUGGGCUUGCAUUCGAUACGGGCAGGCUAGAGUUCGGUAGGGGAGACUGGAAUUCCUGGUGUAGCGGUGAAAUGCGCAGAUAUCAGGAGGAACACCGGUGGCGAAGGCGGGUCUCUGGGCCACUACUGACGCUGAGAAGCGAAAGCAUGGGGAGCGAACAGG